GACUAUCCAAAAACAAUUAUUUUCUUUUUUUUUUUUAAAGAGAGCGACGACUCAAACGGUUGAAACUAGAAUCGAAUCAAUUUACUCCGUCUACUCCAACAAAAAAGUGUAAGGGGUUGGGGAAUUCUUGAACGACUCUUAUUACAGAAAACAUUGUCACCAUCUGCCAUCGUUCUGAUACCAGAAGCAAACAAGUAGAGAUGUACUGUGGAAUCUUCAUUUGGAUGGCUAUUGUCUUAGCAUCUCUCCCUGUUGAAAUUGUUCUCUGGGAUUUCUGCCAAACUAGAAUUCUGGAUUAUGGAUUGAAGAAUGUAAGCUGCCUUCACUACCAAACCUCUGAGAAACUACAUCCCCAACACCCGUGAACUGCUUAAGAAGACAGUUUGUAAGAAAACAUUCAGCAACCUGAAUUGACCGUGAGAGCAAGAGGGAGAAGAAUAGAAAUAGCAAUAGCAUUUAUAUAUCGCUUCACAGUGCUUUACAGCCCUCUCUAAGCAGUUUACAGAAUCAGCAUAUUGCCCCCAACAAUUUGCAU
Crotalus tigris (Tiger rattlesnake) is the source of this 535-nucleotide long non-coding RNA. RefSeq lists it as uncharacterized. Lineage: Eukaryota; Metazoa; Chordata; Lepidosauria; Squamata; Viperidae. The record is from RefSeq and is a predicted model, not a curated record. The transcript is spliced from 4 exons.